CGCGUAGGUGGUUGAGCCAGUCAGAUGUGAAAGCCCCGGGCUUAACCUGGGAACUGCACCUGAUACUGCUUGACUAGAGUACGGUAGAGGGCAGUGGAAUUUCCUGUGUAGCGGUGAAAUGCGUAGAUAUAGGAAGGAACACCAGUGGCGAAGGCGACUGCCUGGACCGAUACUGACACUGAGGUGCGAAAGCGUGGGUAGCAAACA
Molecule: ribosomal RNA, 207 nt
Filed under: uncultured bacterium
Lineage: Bacteria
Description: partial 16S ribosomal RNA
Rfam family: Bacterial small subunit ribosomal RNA
Source: RNAcentral